GAUGAACGCUGGCGGCGUGCCUAAUACAUGCAAGUCGAGCGAACAGACGAGGAGCUUGCUCCUCUGACGUUAGCGGCGGACGGGUGAGUAACACGUGGAUAACCUACCUAUAAGACUGGGAUAACUUCGGGAAACCGGCGCUAAUACCGGAUAAUAUAUUGAACCGCAUGGUUCAAUAGUGAAAGACGGUUUUGCUGUCACUUAUAGAUGGAUCCGCGCCGCAUUAGCUAGUUGGUAAGGUAACGGCUUACCAAGGCAACGAUGCGUAGCCGACCUGAGAGGGUGAUCGGCCACACGGGAACUGAGACACGGUCCAGACUCCUACGGGAGGCAGCAGUAGGGAAUCUUCCGCAAUGGGCGAAAGCCUGACGGAGCAACGCCGCGUGAAUGAUGAAGGUCUUCGGAUCGUAAAACUCUGUUAUUAGGGAAGAACAAAUGUGUAAGUAACUAUGCACGUCUUGACGGUACCUAAUCAGAAAGCCACGGCUAACUACGUG
This 497-nucleotide ribosomal RNA is filed under the name uncultured bacterium. RNAcentral's name for it is "partial 16S ribosomal RNA". It matches the Rfam family "Bacterial small subunit ribosomal RNA", at positions 28 to 507 of the family's 1533-position model. The record is from RNAcentral.